AUAUUGCCACACUAGCUGAUUUGUUUGUUGAAUUUAGCGAGGGUGGGGAUAUUUAUGAACUGCUAUAAAUGAAAUGAAACAAAAGGCUAAAAAAUAUUUUUUCCUUAUCCCUCCUAUUUUUGGUGUAGCUGCAAUGUUAAAUCCAACAAUGAAAUUAGAAGGUCCUCAUUUUUGGUAUUCUAAUAUUUAAAAAGCUUUAGAUCUUUCAGAAGAGGAAAUUGCUACACUUGCUGAUGCAAAAGCAUCAA
RNAcentral lists this long non-coding RNA (248 nucleotides) under Nicotiana benthamiana. Its description in RNAcentral is "long non-coding RNA (NBEN_LNC027733)". The record is from RNAcentral. Lineage: Eukaryota; Viridiplantae; Streptophyta; Magnoliopsida; Solanales; Solanaceae.